Molecule: ribosomal RNA, 440 nt
Filed under: uncultured bacterium
Lineage: Bacteria
Description: partial 16S ribosomal RNA
Rfam family: Bacterial small subunit ribosomal RNA
Source: RNAcentral
CCUACGGGAGGCAGCAGUGGGGAAUAUUGCACAAUGGGGGAAACCCUGAUGCAGCGACGCCGCGUGAAGGAAGAAGUAUUUCGGUAUGUAAACUUCUAUCAGCAGGGAAGAAAAUGAAGGUACCUAACCAAGAAGCCCCGGCUAACUACGUGCCAGCAGCCGCGGUCAUACGGAGGGGGCAAGCGUUAUCCGGAUUUACUGGGUGUAAAGGGAGCGUAGGCGGUUUAGCAAGUCAGAAGUGAAAGCCCGGGGCUCAACGCCGGGACUGCUUUUGAAACUGUUGAACUAGAUUGCAGGAGAGGGAAGUGGAAUUCCUAGUGUAGCGGUGAAAUGCGUAGAUAUUAGGAGGAACACCAGUGGCGAAGGCGGCUAACUGGACUAUAAAUGACGCUGAGGCUCGAAAGCGUGGGGAGCAAACAGGAUUAGAUACCCCAGUAGUC